Molecule: ribosomal RNA, 386 nt
Filed under: uncultured Alphaproteobacteria bacterium
Lineage: Bacteria; Pseudomonadati; Pseudomonadota; Alphaproteobacteria
Description: bacterial SSU rRNA
Rfam family: Bacterial small subunit ribosomal RNA
Source: RNAcentral
GAGUUUGAUCGUGGCUCAGAACGAACGCUGGCGGCAGGCUUAACACAUGCAAGUCGAACGAGUGUAGCAAUACACUAGUGGCGCACGGGUGAGUAACGCGUGGGAAUAUGCCCUUUAGUACGGAAUAACCAAGGGAAACUUUGGCUAAUACCGUAUACGCCCUUCGGGGAAGAUUAUCGCUAAAGGAUUAGCCCGCGUCUGAUUAGGUAGUUGGUGAGGUAACGGCUCACCAAGCCGACGAUCAGUAGCUGGUCUGAGAGGAUGAUCAGCCACAUUGGGACUGAGACACGGCCCAAACUCCUACGGGAGGCAGCAGUGGGGAAUAUUGGACAAUGGGGGCGAACCCUGAUCCAGCCAUGCCGCGUGAGUGAAGAAGGCCUUCGGUU